This 1399-nucleotide small RNA is filed under the name Pan troglodytes (chimpanzee). RNAcentral describes it as "retained intron". Lineage: Eukaryota; Metazoa; Chordata; Mammalia; Primates; Hominidae. The record is from RNAcentral.
CAAUAUGCUCAUAAACUCAAACUGUUGGAGAAAGAGAGCAAAGCUAAGAAUGAAAGAAUUCAACAACUUCAAGAAAAGAAUUUGCAUGCUGUAGUACAAACUCCAGGUGGCAAGAAAAGAAGUAUUGCUUUCAGGCGCCAGCGUAUGCAAAUUGAUGAACCGGUUCCUCCCUCUGAAGUCAGUUCAUAUCCAGUUCCUCAACCAGAUGACCCUUACAUUGCAGACCUCCUUCAAGUGGCUGAUAACAGGAUUCAAGAACUUCAACAGGAAGUCCACCAGCUACAAGAAAAGUUAGCAAUGAUGGAAAGUGGGGUGAGAGACUAUAGCAAGCAGAUUGAGCUAAGAGAACGAGAGAUAGAACGACUGUCAGUUGCUUUGGAUGGUGGUCGGUCCCCUGAUGUCCUUUCUCUGGAGUCUAGAAAUAAAACCAAUGAAAAGCUUAUUGCUCAUUUAAAUAUUCAGGUUGACUUUCUUCAGCAAGCUAAUAAAGACCUGGAGAAGCGUAUACGAGAGCUUAUGGAAACCAAGGAAACAGUGACAUCUGAAGUCGUUAAUUUAAGUAACAAAAAUGAAAAACUCUGCCAAGAAUUAACUGAAAUAGAUCAGUUAGCACAGCAGUUGGAAAGACAUAAAGAAGAAGUGCUUGAGACUGCUGAUAAAGAGCUUGGGGAAGCAAAGGUAAUGAAUGAUAUGUGUAGAUUGUGAGAGUGUUCAUUAAUUCUCCUAGCACACAGUAAGCUUGAUCCCUUUUGAUAUCUGCAUUCAGGUUUUUGGUUUAUUUUGUAUGUCUGUUUUUGUUUUUUUGCUUUGGUAAUUCAGGGUUUUCUGAAGUGUUGUUUACACCCUGUAAAUGAUUGUAUUUGUUUUAGUUGUUUGAGUGUCUCUCUGAAGCACACCUAUUCUUAGGAUGGAUCUCCAAACUCUAGUCUGUUUUCCUUCACGAUUUUUAUCUCUGCCCCUUUAUCUAUGCAUUGUGAGAGAGCUUUUGAAGUUUCCCCUCUAUGUCAUUUUUGCUCAAGAGUCCUUUUUUUUUGAGACAGAAUCUCUGUCUCCCAGGCUGGAGUGCAAUGGUGUGAUCUCGGCUCACUGCAACCCCCGUCUCCCGGGUUCAAGUGAUUCUCCUGCCUCAGCCUCCAAGUAGCUGGAAUUACAGGUGCCCGCCACCAUGCCCAGCUAAUUUUUGUACUUUUAGUAGAGACGGGGUUUCACCAUGUGGGCCAGCCUGGUCUCGAACUCCUGACCUCAGGUGAUCCAUCCACCUCAGCCUCCCAAAAUGCUGGGAUUACAGGCGUGAGCCACCACGCUCGGCUUGUGUUUUUUGAGACAUGGUCUUGCUCUGUUGCCCAGGCUGGAGUGUGGUGGGACAAUCAUAGCUCACUGCAGCCUCAACCUCCUCAGG